GAGUUUUGAUCCUGGCUCAGGAUGAACGCUAGCUACAGGCUUAACACAUGCAAGUCGAGGGGCAGCAUUUUAGUUUGCUUGCAAACUGAAGAUGGCGACCGGCGCACGGGUGAGUAACACGUAUCCAACCUGCCGAUAACUCCGGGAUAGCCUUUCGAAAGAAAGAUUAAUACCGGAUAGCAUACGAAUAUCGCAUGAUA
RNAcentral lists this ribosomal RNA (200 nucleotides) under uncultured bacterium. RNAcentral describes it as "partial 16S ribosomal RNA". It matches the Rfam family "Bacterial small subunit ribosomal RNA", at positions 9 to 195 of the family's 1533-position model. The record is from RNAcentral.